GUCUACAACCAUGCUACCCUGAACAAGCCUGAUGUCUGAUCUCGGAACCUAAGCAGGGCCGGGUCUGGUUAGUACUUGGAUGGGAGGCCACCUAAGAAGACCAGGUGCUAUAGGCA
RNAcentral lists this ribosomal RNA (116 nucleotides) under Pteropus alecto (black flying fox). The record is from RNAcentral. Lineage: Eukaryota; Metazoa; Chordata; Mammalia; Chiroptera; Pteropodidae.